RNAcentral lists this long non-coding RNA (273 nucleotides) under Linum usitatissimum (flax). Its description in RNAcentral is "long non-coding RNA (LUSI_LNC000821)". The record is from RNAcentral. Lineage: Eukaryota; Viridiplantae; Streptophyta; Magnoliopsida; Malpighiales; Linaceae.
UCAACAUUCCACUAACUAUGAAUUAAGUAUUUUUCUCUCCUCCAAAGAUCGAUUCAUAUCCUCUCAGUCGGACUCCUUUUCUUCUUCUCCAAUAAUCUCGACUGAUCCCUAUAUCAUCCUCAAUCAAUUCCAAAUUCACAGUCAAACACUUCUCUUCACAUAGCUUCAUUAUACCUUCCCCGCCUACAAAUUUAGCCAAAAAGAAAAACAAUCCAAGACUUGAAGGCAUGGUUCUCGACCAGAACAUAAUUUUGCUAUCUCUCAAGAAUUAGG